AUUGAACGCUGGCGGCAGGCUUAACACAUGCAAGUCGAGCGGGGGAAGGUAGCUUGCUACCGGACCUAGCGGCGGACGGGUGAGUAAUGCUUAGGAAUCUGCCUAUUAGUGGGGGACAACAUCUCGAAAGGGAUGCUAAUACCGCAUACGUCCUACGGGAGAAAGCAGAGGAUCUUCGGACCUUGCGCUAAUAGAUGAGCCUAAGUCGGAUUAGCUAGUUGGUGGGGUAAAGGCCUACCAAGGCGACGAUCUGUAGCGGGUCUGAGAGGAUGAUCCGCCACACUGGGACUGAGACGCGGCCCAGACUCCUACGGGAGGCAGCAGUGUGGAAUAUUGGACAAUGGGGGGAACCCUGAUCCAGCCAUGCCGCGUGUGUGAAGAAGGCCUUAUGGUUGUAAAGCACUUUAAGCGAGGAGGAGGCUACUCUAGUUAAUACCUAGGGAUAGUGGACGUUACUCGCAGAAUAAGCACCGGCUAACUCUGUGCCAGCAGCAGCCGCGG
RNAcentral lists this ribosomal RNA (501 nucleotides) under uncultured bacterium. RNAcentral's name for it is "partial 16S ribosomal RNA". It matches the Rfam family "Bacterial small subunit ribosomal RNA", at positions 30 to 523 of the family's 1533-position model. The record is from RNAcentral.